GUCAUAGUCAUUUGAUGAAGUCAUUUCAUGGGAAGGAUAUUCUCUGAGUUAAAAAAAAAAAAAAGAAAGAAAAGAAAAAAAGAAUUAGCAUUUGAGAUCAUGGAAGUUCCCCAUCUGUAGACACAGUCUUAGAGAAUGCUGCAGUUAGUGGGUGAGCAUUUGGUUCGAGGGCUCAUUAAUCAGUGUUGUUGGGUUGGGGUCUCCUGAGCCUUCUGGGUUUGGGGAGAAUCGGCUUCUGUAAUUAAAGGGAUGAAAUAUAUCACAGUCACAAACUCACCACGUCGACAGUUGAGGGUUUUGAACUAGCAGAAUUAAUCUCUUUAAUUUUUUUCCUUAGGUGUUUAAAAUAGAAGUGCUAAUGAACGGAAGAAAACAUUUUGUUGAGAAACGGUACAGUGAAUUCCAUGCCUUGCACAAAAAGGUAACCUUUGGUUUCAUGCUUUUUCUCCGUAUGGCCUGUGGUAUAGUGUUAAGACUGCUCUGUGAUCCUCAGAGUGUUACGGUCUACUGUUUCUUUAUAAUGGCAUUAAUUUUUAAAAAGUAGAUUGUUCAGUCAGUGUGUUUGGGUUUUUUUAAUAAGUGGAUUUCCUGUUACCAUUGCUUAUGUAUUCAACUCUGAGGCAGCAGACUGUUGGCAGUAUAUUGCACGGGAUAUUAAAGGCUUAUCUAUCAUGAAUGAGGCCAACAACCUCCUCUGUCCAAGAAAUGCGUUACAAUGUUCUUUAGGAAA
Molecule: long non-coding RNA, 730 nt
Filed under: Rattus norvegicus (Norway rat)
Lineage: Eukaryota; Metazoa; Chordata; Mammalia; Rodentia; Muridae
Description: long non-coding RNA NONRATT013437
Source: RNAcentral